ACGAACGCUGGCGGCGUGCCUAAUACAUGCAAGUCGAGCGGACCCUUCGGGGUUAGCGGCGGACGGGUGAGUAACACGUGGGUAAUCUGCCCAACUGACUGGAAUAACGCCUGGAAACGGGUGCUAAUGCCGGAUAGGCAACUGGUAGGCAUCUACCGGUUGGGAAAGGUGCAACUGCACCGCAGAUGGAGGAGCCCGCGGCGCAUUAGCUAGUUGGUGGGGUAACGGCCUACCAAGGCGACGAUGCGUAGCCGACCUGAGAGGGUGGACGGCCACACUGGGACUGAGACACGGCCCAGACUCCUACGGGAGGCAGCAGUAGGGAAUCUUCCGCAAUGGGCGCAAGCCUGACGGAGCAACGCCGCGUGAGCGAAGAAGGCCUUCGGGUUGUAAAGCUCAGUCACUCGGGAAGAGCGGACGAGGAAGUGGAAAGCCCUCGUCGAGACGGUACCGAGAGAGGAAGCCCCGGCUAACUACGUG
Molecule: ribosomal RNA, 480 nt
Filed under: uncultured bacterium
Lineage: Bacteria
Description: bacterial SSU rRNA
Rfam family: Bacterial small subunit ribosomal RNA
Source: RNAcentral